CAUCAUAACUAUAUGCUUAUGGGCCGUUACUAUAAAGUAUUGUCAAUUUGUGUUGAAGGGUUUUUUCUGUAUUUGUGCAGAGCUAGCAAUCUGAGGGAUUGCUUGCCUUUCAUUUCCAUGAGUGUUCUGUUCAGAUACCGCCUGCUGACUGCCAAGGCCAAACUUUGUGUUCUGGGACCAGCACAAGAACAGACUGGGCGAUAGCACCAAGUGUCAACAUAUUUGCAAUUUUGUAUUAUCAUAUCUUGUCGAGUCCACUCCCCCCUUUUCCCUUAGUCACAAUGAUGUAAUAGGGAUUUCCUCAAUAAAUACAGGAGGCACGCGGGCUGUACUUUAGAACGUUGUUUGGAUCUGUAACUAGAGUACAGCCCAAAACACGUGUCUCCUCAUGAGCUCUAUUUAACCCUGUGUCUGCUUGGUUCCUUGGUUCUUGUCUGAUUAAUAGAUGUCACCAGUGUCUGAACCUGACAUCUUCUUGGUCCUUCGAGCCGGAUCCCAACAAGUCUGACGAUUCCAGCCGGGUGAGUAAAGUUGGAAAACCAUGGCACCCACAUCUCCCAUUGAGGAGCUGAUUUUCUUCACCCAAGGCUGGGAUCGGAAUAACUGACGGGAACCGAAGACAAGAGAAAGGAACGCAGAUUUCACUGCGACUUUCUUGGCUCUUCCAUGGCUUCACUCAGAGACACAGGCCGUCACCACACCCCUCUGACUUUCAGUGACUAGGACGGCGGAAGCUCCAUGGAGUCGUACCAGGAACCCUAAGGUUUCUGGACCCAUCCACUUAUUAAAGUAGCAUUAUACUGUAUAUAUUGUUGAAGACGACUACAUUGUAUGAUACUUCAACCGUAUAUACCAGGGGUCCUUAAACUACAACCUGGGGGUCUGGAUCUGGCCCGUGGGACGUCUCAAGUUUAAAAAAAAAUAUAUACAAUAAUUAUUUUUUUUAAAAUCUGUCUCUUCUAGCCGCUCAGGCAAAUCAUAUUGUUGAUGUAGAUGCCUGUAUCUGAUUCACAAAAGAGAAAGAGAAGUGUGGGAUACUUGUCGUUUCUUUACUUUUAUUCGAUUUUAUUAAAUGUUUGCAUAUACUUAGUGUUUGGCGCAGGGGGAUUGGAGCAGGAGGCAAUAGAAAGAAGAAGAAAAAAGAUGACAGAGGAGGAAAUUGUGGGGAAA
Molecule: long non-coding RNA, 1170 nt
Organism: Nerophis ophidion (straightnose pipefish)
Lineage: Eukaryota; Metazoa; Chordata; Actinopteri; Syngnathiformes; Syngnathidae
Exons: 3
Source: RefSeq, a predicted model, not a curated record